AACGCAUCUGGCGCCCCCGGGUCCUGCCCGGAGGCAUGUCUGUUUGAGAAUCAUUUAUUUGUUUGCGUGGCGCGCUCGGCGGUGCGUCGACUUGGGCUCACACCAGUGUCUGUCCGAAAGCCAGCGGCGCUGCGUGGGUUAGUAGCUAGCAGUAGCGCGACAUGCAUGCGGCGCACGCCUGUGAUUGGCUGAUUGGUCGAUGGUCUCAAAUCAGACAAGACUACCCGCCGAACUUAA
Molecule: unclassified non-coding RNA, 237 nt
Filed under: uncultured fungus
Lineage: Eukaryota; Fungi
Description: partial internal transcribed spacer 2
Source: RNAcentral